GACGAACGCUGGCGGCGUGCUUAACACAUGCAAGUCGAACGGAAAGGCCCUGCUUGCAGGGUACUCGAGUGGCGAACGGGUGAGUAACACGUGGGUGAUCUGCCCUGCACUUCGGGAUAAGCUUGGGAAACUGGGUCUAAUACCGGAUAGGAGCCAUCUUUAGUGUGGUGGUUGGAAAGUUUUUUCGGUGUAGGAUGAGCUCGCGGCCUAUCAGCUUGUUGGUGGGGUAAUGGCCUACCGAGGCGGCGACGGGUAGCCGGCCUGAGAGGGUGUACGGCCACAUUGGGACUGAGAUACGGCCCAGACUCCUACGGGAGGCAGCAGUGGGGAAUAUUGCACAAUGGGCGCAAGCCUGAUGCAGCGACGCCGCGUGGGGGAUGAAGGCCUUCGGGUUGUAAACUCCUUUCGCUAGGGACGAAGCUUUUUUGUGACGGUACCUAGAGAAGAAGCACCGGCUAACUACGUG
RNAcentral lists this ribosomal RNA (466 nucleotides) under uncultured bacterium. Its description in RNAcentral is "partial 16S ribosomal RNA". It matches the Rfam family "Bacterial small subunit ribosomal RNA", at positions 28 to 507 of the family's 1533-position model. The record is from RNAcentral.